Homo sapiens (human) is the source of this 366-nucleotide long non-coding RNA. RefSeq lists it as uncharacterized. NCBI's taxonomy places the organism in Eukaryota, Metazoa, Chordata, Mammalia, Primates, Hominidae. The transcript is spliced from 2 exons. The record is from RefSeq and is a predicted model, not a curated record.
AGUGUAAGAGGUAAGGAGUCUGUUCUGCUGGGGAGUUCUGCUAUCUUCCACACAUGGUUUCCAUCUUCUAAUUUAAAGCUAACCUUUGAAUGAGAGAAACUUCUGCUGAUGUCAAAUGACCACAAGGAUAUUAACAACUGGACUUGGAGCCUGUCGGCCGCUGUUGGAUACACCUCCUUUACCAAGGCGGCUUUCUUCACUACUGCCACUGACCUUGCAAACAGCUCCGACAAAGGUCGGAAUGGAUUCAUUGAUCAGCUAGACCGAGCAUAUGACAGUCUGUGCCUUAAUUGAAUCCCAAAAGGGGGCAGACUGGGUUUUUAUUACAGAGGCCAGCCGAUAGCACUCAUUAAAAGCUCCACAGAC